Molecule: ribosomal RNA, 460 nt
Filed under: uncultured bacterium
Lineage: Bacteria
Description: partial 16S ribosomal RNA
Rfam family: Bacterial small subunit ribosomal RNA
Source: RNAcentral
CCUACGGGUGGCAGCAGUGAGGAAUAUUGGUCAAUGGACGAGAGUCUGAACCAGCCAAGUAGCGUGAAGGAUGACUGCCCUAUGGGUUGUAAACUUCUUUUAUAAAGGAAUAAAACGCGGCACGUGUGCCUUUUUGCCUGUACUUUAUGACUAAGGAUCGGCUAACUCCGUGCCAGCAGCCUCGGUAAUACGUAGGGUGCGAGCGUUAAUCGGAAUUACUGGGGGUAAAUCGCUCGUAGGCGGUCUGUCAAGUCAAGGGGGAAAUCCCCGCGCUCAACGGGGGAACUACCUUGCAAACUGGCAAACUGGAGUUUGUGAGAGGAUAGUGGAAUUCCAGGUGUAGGAGUGAAAUCCGUAGAUAUCUGGAGGAACAGCAGUGGCGAAGGCGACUAUCUGGCACAUAACUGACGCUGAGGAGCGAAAGCGUGGGUAGCAAACAGGAUUAGAUACCCCGGUAGUC